CAAUAUGAUCCAGUUACCUUACCAGCUUCCUCCAAAUGUGCAAAGAUUAAACUUCGCUGCUAGUGGUUUUAGUGGUGGCCUCCCACGUUCCAUUUCACAGCUGACCUCCCUCCAGUAUUUAAAUGUCAGUCACAAUAAAAUCCAAGGAUCAGUGAUUGACUCG
Molecule: long non-coding RNA, 163 nt
Organism: Lycium barbarum (goji berry)
Lineage: Eukaryota; Viridiplantae; Streptophyta; Magnoliopsida; Solanales; Solanaceae
Exons: 3
Source: RefSeq, a predicted model, not a curated record